This 421-nucleotide ribosomal RNA is filed under the name uncultured Odoribacter sp. Its description in RNAcentral is "partial 16S ribosomal RNA". It matches the Rfam family "Bacterial small subunit ribosomal RNA", at positions 355 to 774 of the family's 1533-position model. Lineage: Bacteria; Pseudomonadati; Bacteroidota; Bacteroidia; Bacteroidales; Odoribacteraceae. The record is from RNAcentral.
UGAGGAAUAUUGGUCAAUGGCCUAACGGCUGAACCAGCCAAGUCGCGUGAGGGAAGACUGCCCUAUGGGUUGUAAACCUCUUUUAUUUGGGAAGAAUAAUGACUACGUGUAGUCAGAUGCCUGUACCAAAUGAAUAAGCAUCGGCUAACUCCGUGCCAGCAGCCGCGGUAAUACGGAGGAUGCGAGCGUUAUCCGGAUUUAUUGGGUUUAAAGGGUGCGUAGGUGGUCUCUUAAGUUAGUGGUUAAAUGGUUGGGCUAAACCCAAUCUUGCCAUUAAAACUGGGAAACUCGAGUACAGACGAGGUAGGCGGAACAAGUUAAGUAGCGGUGAAAUGCAUAGAUAUAACUUAGAACUCCGAUAGCGAAGGCAGCUUACCAGACUGUGACUGACACUGAUGCACGAGAGCAUGGGUAGCAAACA